AUAUGAUACUUAGUGCCCUGGGGACACAAGGUGGGAGGUUCUCCUUUGCACGGGCUUUCCUGCAAAGGCUCUGUUGCUCUAUCAAUCAAACAGCAGGACAUAGGCAACCUAAGCAAAGGGAAAUGCUUGUAGGACUUCCAGGAUUGAUUAGAUAUGGACAGCAGGUUUGACAGUGGGGAGGAGCAAAGGCUAUGCUGCAGGGCUGCCCCUGUUCCUUCCAUCCCGUGGAACUCUGUCAAGAUCCAAAGUCCAGAAGACAGCAUCUACCUGACCAAGCUUAAGUCAUAUGUCUGCUCAUAAACUUAGGGAUGGGGAAGGGAAGGGAAGGGCAAAGGGAGAGGUGAAAUCUGUUUCUUUCCCUUUCAGUAGAGAUGAAACUGGUGCCUGGAAUAAUUACCUUCUUACUAAGAUUAAACACACUAGGGAGUUAUUCUCUAAAAGGAAAACAAACUCAGAUUAGGAAUGAAGAAUGGAAGCUGGACAAAUCUUUACAAUGACCAAUGACUCUUACCUGGACAUUCAGGCAUGGGGAAGAAUAUGGGUAAAGGCAAGUCCUUAGUAAUACUGCUGAACUGCUGGAUCAAGCCUUACCUGAAACCAACUGACCUUGGAGCUUUCCAGUUAUGUGAACAAGUGGAAUCUUACAUUAGAAGUCUGGUUCAAAACAGGUGUGCUAUGAUGGGGUUGGUGAUAGAGAACCCAUGGCCCGCCCACUCAGUCUUCCUCUCAUCUCUCUAGAAGACUAAGGAAACAUGGAGCCCAGUUCGAAGACAAGUUACCAUGAUACCUUACACUUACAGUUAAGACAGCCUGCUGAAAACAUUUUCUCUUCAAAUUUCCCAUGCCAAAAGCAUUUCUACCAUGUUGUAUGGUGCAGAAUAUUGGCAGAAUAUUGACUAUGGUGUGUGUGUGUGGAUGCAGUGGUGGUGGUGACUAAUCAUGAAGGCUUUUAGGAAGAAAUAACUGCCUUUGGCAGGCAAACCUGUACUUCACCACCUCUGUGUGUGAAUAAGAUGGCCUUCUAUCACCAUGGGCAAUACAAACCACAUGCUUAUAAAAUUCUCCAAGAGAAUGCCAAUUUUGCUUGGUAAAAUUGAGUAUCUAAAAGCACGUAGGUUGGUGUUCAGUAAACAACUUGGAAUAUGUAUGCCUCACUGAUAUAAGGCAUAUAUAAGUCAAAGAAAUAAUUGACUUUAAACUUACUGCUGUUAUUCAGCUUUUAUCAAAAGCAUAGUUUAGAUAUGGGUUGAAAAACUGGUGCUGGUAGGCCUAGUAGCCUGUGAACUUUUAUCUGGCUCCUACAGUGUUUUAAAAGACACUAAAACUAUAGGUAUGUAUGUUUGGUCAGUUUAACAUAUAAAUAUAUAUCUUCUGAUUUUUCUUUGAUUUCUGCUACCCUAUAUACACAUGUAUAUGUGUAUUAACUACAAUCUGUUAUAAAUAUUUUUGUAAAC
RNAcentral lists this long non-coding RNA (1454 nucleotides) under Homo sapiens (human). Its description in RNAcentral is "HSALNT0090343". The record is from RNAcentral. Lineage: Eukaryota; Metazoa; Chordata; Mammalia; Primates; Hominidae.